UCUCUUUUCUCUUUCUCUUUCUUUCCUUACUCUUUCCAACCAAAGGCAUCCUAAAUUCCCUCUCCUCUCUUCUUCUCCAUCUCCGGUGGUAGCGGCGGCAGCAUAGACGGCGAUUCAAAUGCGUAGGCUCGUGGAACAGAUCAGGGAUGCAGAACACAGCUAUGGUGAUCCUUUCUCGGUGGUUGUUGACUACACAAGAAUUCGGAGGUAGCAUCAUGAGUGGCAAACAAGUUAAUAGUCGAGCUCAACAUGGAUCAAGUUGAUGGUGAGUGUGAAGAAAGCAAUGAAUUCGAAGCUUAUGAUGAAAACAUGUCAUGAGAUUUCAUGUUAGGAAGUGAUUAUGUUGCUGCUUAUAUCAAUAUGUUAUUUGGAUUACCCGAUAGGAAAUAGC
Molecule: non-coding RNA, 391 nt
Organism: Lupinus albus (white lupine)
Lineage: Eukaryota; Viridiplantae; Streptophyta; Magnoliopsida; Fabales; Fabaceae
Source: the annotation of a GenBank genome assembly